Molecule: ribosomal RNA, 497 nt
Filed under: uncultured bacterium
Lineage: Bacteria
Description: partial 16S ribosomal RNA
Rfam family: Bacterial small subunit ribosomal RNA
Source: RNAcentral
GAUGAACGCUGGCGGCGUGCCUAAUACAUGCAAGUCGAGCGAACGGACGAGAAGCUUGCUUCUCUGAUGUUAGCGGCGGUCGGGUGAGUAACACGUGGAUAACCUACCUAUAAGACUGGGAUAACUUCGGGAAACCGUAGCUAAUACCGGAUAAUAUUUUGAACCGCAUGGUUCAAAAGUGAAAGACGGUCUUGCUGUCACUUAUCGAUGGAUCCGCGCUGCAUUAGCUAGUUGGUAAGGUAACGGCUUACCAAGGCAACGAUGCAUAGCCGACCUGAGAGGGUGAUCGGCCACACUGGAACUGAGACACGGUCCAGACUCCUACGGGAGGCAGCAGUAGGGAAUCUUCCGCAAUGGGCGAAAGCCUGACGGAGCAACGCCGCGUGAGUGAUGAAGGUCUUCGGAUCGUAAAACUCUGUUAUUAGGGAAGAACAUAUGUGUAAGUAACUGUGCACAUCUUGACGGUACCUAAUCAGAAAGCCACGGCUAACUACGUG